AAUUAAUUGACAGAAAACACCAAACGGAAGCGUUUCAACAAAAACAAAUCAAUGAUGGUUUCCAAUUGAAUCAUUUAAUUGUUGAUACACCAAUCAAGAAAUCGUAAUCAUCGUAACCAGUAAUCAAUCCUAAAUAGAUAUAGAUUAAUUGUAAUUGGCCUAAAUUCAGUUUACACGUCCGGAAGAUAUUAUUAAAUUGGGCAAACAUAUAAAUUUAUAAGUAGUUAAGGAUGAUCUUAUAUGUUCUGAUAUAAGAUUUUCGCAUUCAUGUCGAAUCAUGAAGAAUUUGCUUCAAUUCAUUUCCCUAUUUGGAAAAUAUCGAACAUUCAACAACUAAUGUUAAUCUUCUGAUGGAAAAUUAUUUUCAAGCUUAUGGUAUAAUCACAACAAAUUGAAACGUCUUGAUAAUCGUAUCGAUUUAUCAAUAGAUUUGUCCCAUGUUCUGAAUUUCGCCGAUUCCAUGACUAAUCUUAAACUACUCUUCAUCAAUACUUUGUACCAAAUUAGAGAGCAUACUAAGUUUUUUAAUUCAUCUUUGGAUGUCUGUUCAGUUCGGUAAUUUUUUUAUCCUUUUUAGAUCCUAUUUCCAACUAUUAUAUAAUAUAAUGGACCAAUUUUUAAGAAGCUCUGUAUCUUUAAUGGUAGUAGGUUGUGUUAUUAUAUCACUCGAAUUCUAGACUUUUGUCCAAAUUUACGAAAUCUCACUCCGAUUCUUCCUAAGUGGACCUAAAUAAUCCAAAUAAAUAGUGACAUUAAAAACCACAAUUUACAAGGAUUAUUUAUCAGUCUUGAUCAUUCGUAUGGAUACGAUAUAAUUCAAAUUGUGGAAAAAUUUUCUAAUGUUCGAUAUCUUAGAAUCGAUGGAACCUUAACGGAAUCACAAUUAACUAAAAUUAUCAGACUACUUCUUCAUUUAUCAGUAUUGGUGGUUGAUGAUGGACUCCACGGCCACUCGCUAACUAUUGACAGUGUUGAUCGAAUCAAAACAUUUUGUCGAUCAAAAAAUGUAAACAU
This is a long non-coding RNA of Panonychus citri (citrus red mite), 1014 nucleotides long. RefSeq lists it as uncharacterized. The transcript has 3 exons. NCBI's taxonomy places the organism in Eukaryota, Metazoa, Arthropoda, Arachnida, Trombidiformes, Tetranychidae. The record is from RefSeq and is a predicted model, not a curated record.